This 516-nucleotide ribosomal RNA is filed under the name uncultured Anaeromusa sp. RNAcentral's name for it is "partial 16S rRNA". It matches the Rfam family "Bacterial small subunit ribosomal RNA", at positions 56 to 556 of the family's 1533-position model. Lineage: Bacteria; Bacillati; Bacillota; Negativicutes; Selenomonadales; Sporomusaceae. The record is from RNAcentral.
UGCAGUCGAACGGAGAUUCAGCAAUGGAUCUUAGUGGCGAACGGGUGAGUAACGCGUAGGCAAUCUGCCUUCUAGAUGGGGACAACAUCCCGAAAGGGGUGCUAAUACCGAAUGUUGUAAUUGGUUCGCAUGGACUAGCUACUAAAGGUGGCCUCUGAAUAUGCUACCGCUAGAAGAUGAGCCUGCGUCUGAUUAGCUAGUUGGAGGGGUAACGGCCCACCAAGGCUUCGAUCAGUAGCCGGUCUGAGAGGAUGAACGGCCACACUGGGACUGAGACACGGCCCAGACUCCUACGGGAGGCAGCAGUGGGGAAUCUUCCGCAAUGGACGAAAGUCUGACGGAGCAACGCCGCGUGAGUGAAGAAGGUUUUCGGAUCGUAAAGCUCUUUCGUUAGGGACGAACGUGCUCUUUGUGAAUAAUGAGGAGUAAUGACGGUACCUAAAUAAGAAGCCACGGCUAACUACGUGCCAGCAGCCGCGGUAAUACGUAGGUGGCAAGCGUUGUCCGGAAUUAUUG